RNAcentral lists this ribosomal RNA (2031 nucleotides) under Retortamonadidae sp. IC-2014c. Its description in RNAcentral is "partial small subunit ribosomal RNA". It matches the Rfam family "Eukaryotic small subunit ribosomal RNA". The record is from RNAcentral. Lineage: Eukaryota; Fornicata; Retortamonadidae.
UAGUCAUAUGCUCACCUCAAGGAUUAAGCCAUGCAUGUCGAAGUAUAAACUAGUAUACGGUGAAACUGCGAACGGCUCAUUAAAUCASUUGCAAUCGAAGUGGCGAUAUCAGGUUGUUGAUCGGAUAACACUGGCAAAUCUAGUGCUAAUACGUCCGGGAGCGCGGCGCCGUCACAGGCGCCCGCGCGCCCCCGCUUACUAGCUGCUGCUGCCAACGGGCGGGGAGGGGCUUCGCGGCCCCGCCCCCCCAACCGACGAGCCAUAGUAAGGAGUUGACCGCCCCCGCGGGCGGCGUGCCAUUCGAGCUUCUGCACUAUCAUCUCAGGUUGGUAGAGUAGUGGUCUACCAAGGAGUUUACGGUUAACGGAGGAUUAGGGUUCGACUCCGGAGAAUGAGCCUGAGAGACGGCUCAUACAUCCAAGGAUGGCAGCAGGCGCGAAAAUUACCCAAUGUACACGGUACGAGGUAGUGACAAGGAAUAUCGGGGCCUGUGGGCGUUCUGCCCAUGCGGCCACUGACAUGGACCGGCUCCAAAGGUGCCGGUGAACACGAGUCGAGGGAAAGGUCUGGUGCCAGCAGCCGCGGUAAUUCCAGCUCGACCAGCGUAUAUUAAAGUUGUUGCAGUUAAAACGUUCGUAGUUUGACCUGCGGUGGCCGGGGGUGUGGUCAGGGCGCUGGGGCAGUGCGGCGCGCGUUUGCAAAAGCGCGCGCUGCAUCCCGGCCGUCCGCCGGGGGCGCGUUGCGGGGGUCGUACCCCGCGGCGCGGCCGCGGUCUGCGAAAACAAGCAGGGCCCGUUUACCAGCCACUGUUUGUCGGCGCACAGCAAUGUUCGCGCCGGCGAUUACCAUGAGGAAAUAGGUACGUUCAAAGUAGAGCUUCCCCGCGCGGAAAACCCGGCCGGAGACGGCGGGGCCUCGGCGGGGGUUUUUUUAUCGUUGAACAGGCCAGCAUGGGAUAAUGUGCUAUGACUCGGCGUCACAGCGCGUUGGCUUGCAGCGGAUGCAGAGUAAUGGUUGAUAGGAGUGAGUGCGUGGGCAUCAGGACCAGACGGGGACAGGUGAAAUAGGAUGAUCCGUCUGAGACUAUCGGGAGCGAAAGCGUUUGCCAAGUACACUUUCAUUAAUCAAGAUCGAAAGCCAGGGGAUAGAAGGCGAUUAGACACCACCGUAUUCCUGGCCAUAAACCAUACCAACUAAGAAUUGGGAGUGCAUUCCAUUUUUUAUUUUUGGUUCCUCUCAGCGCUCAUAGAGAAAUCGUUAAGUUUUCGGGUUCUGGGGGGAGUAUGGUCGCAAGGCUGAAACUUGAAGGCAUUGACGGAGAGAUACCACAAGACGUGGAGUCUGCGGCUCAAUUUGACUCAACACGUAAACCUUACCAGGCCCAGACGUGCGUGGGAUUGACAGAUUGAUAGUUCUUUCAUGAUUGCAUGGUUGGUGGUGCAUGGCCGUUCUUAGCCCGUAACGUAAGUCGUCUGCUUUAUUGCGAUAACGAGCGAGACCUCUGUUGUCAAAUACGCCGCACGUGCCUGCUGGCGCCAGCCUCUCGCUGGUCCGCCGCUAUGGGCACCCGUGCGCGCGUUCUUGGCGAGACUGUUGGCGAUUUAAAAGCCAAAGGAAGGUAGAGGCAAUAACAGGUCUGUGAUGCCCUUAGAUGCCCUGGGCCGCACGCGUACUACACUGCCUGGAACAAGGGGUAACGCCGGGGAGGGGGGCGCGGGGCGACCUGCGCCAGCCUUCCGGGCCGCUGGCCUGAGGGGGUCGGCUACUCGCGAGUACCAGGCGUGGCUGGGAUUGGGGCUUGGAACUAUGCCCCAUGAACAAGGAAUGUCUAGUAGGCGCGCUUCACAAAGACGCGCCGAUUCUGUCCCUGUCCCUUGUACACACCGCCCGUCGCUUGAUCCGAUUGGUUGUUUUGGCGAGUUCUUCGGACACGCCGCGCUCUGCGMGGGCCGCGAGGCCCGCGCCGGGGUGCGUGUGGAAGUUGUGCGAGCCUAAAGAAUUAGAGGAACAAGAAGUCGUAACAAGGUAUCC